Molecule: unclassified non-coding RNA, 419 nt
Filed under: Hevea brasiliensis (rubber tree)
Lineage: Eukaryota; Viridiplantae; Streptophyta; Magnoliopsida; Malpighiales; Euphorbiaceae
Source: RNAcentral
CAGAAAUUAGAAUUUCGAAAUUUGGCAUAAAGAUCAUUCAAUUACAAAACGAGUCUUGACAAUUGAAUAAAUAUAGUACCUACAAACCGCAGAAAAUCUACCAACAACGAGAAAUUUCUACAAACACAAGGCAUCUAACAAGAACAAGCUACAGCACAGUUCUGCAGUUAUAUACUUCUUCAUAUGAUGAGUAGAAAAGCAACUACUUUUGCUCACUACUCAACUUACUACAAGAUGCGAUCGAUCAUUCAAUUCCAGUCGACUUGAUCAAACUAAACAUUAUAAUCUCCAUAAGACUCAAAAUUCUUGAGACAAACCAUAAAAAUCAAACCUUUUUUAGUUAUACUUCCUAGGCCUACCUCUUUUCUUAGGUCCUGUCGACAUUGGUCUGGGAGCAGCAGCAGCAGCAGCAGGAGGAG